Molecule: unclassified non-coding RNA, 276 nt
Filed under: Hevea brasiliensis (rubber tree)
Lineage: Eukaryota; Viridiplantae; Streptophyta; Magnoliopsida; Malpighiales; Euphorbiaceae
Source: RNAcentral
UCUCCCAAAUAAAAGUCUGGUAGCCAAGAACACCGGGUUUGCAGUUCCAUCGACAUUGGCAAAUUUAUCAAAAUUAGAUCUGCUAAUCAGAAAUGGAUAUGGGACUGCUAUUGCUCAUGUGAAACUAUUGAACACGAUCGAAAAUAAGUUUGUUCUCUCCAGCAAGUUUUCUGUUGAGGGAGCUUUUCGGAUGAAAGAGGAAUAUGUUGAAGGGAUAUUUGAAACUCCAAAGGUAGACGAGGAUAUCGUGCCUGAGCAACUAAAGGGUGCUUUGGA